GAUGAACGCUGGCGGCGUGCUUAACACAUGCAAGUCGAACGGAAAGGCCCAAGCUUGCUUGGGUACUCGAGUGGCGAACGGGUGAGUAACACGUGGGUGAUCUGCCCUGCACUUCGGGAUAAGCCUGGGAAACUGGGCCUAAUACCGGAUAGGACCACUUCUUGGAUGUUGUGGUGGAAAGUUUUUUCGGUGUGGGAUGAGCUCGCGGCCUAUCAGCUUGUUGGUGGGGUAAUGGCCUACCAAGGCGUCGACGGGUAGCCGGCCUGAGAGGGUGUACGGCCACAUUGGGACUGAGAUACGGCCCAGACUCCUACGGGAGGCAGCAGUGGGGAAUAUUGCACAAUGGGCGCAAGCCUGAUGCAGCGACGCCGCGUGGGGGAUGACGGCCUUCGGGUUGUAAACUCCUUUCGCUAGGGACGAAGCGUUUUGUGACGGUACCUGGAGAAGAAGCACCGGCUAACUACGUG
Molecule: ribosomal RNA, 467 nt
Filed under: uncultured bacterium
Lineage: Bacteria
Description: partial 16S ribosomal RNA
Rfam family: Bacterial small subunit ribosomal RNA
Source: RNAcentral